RNAcentral lists this ribosomal RNA (363 nucleotides) under uncultured bacterium. Its description in RNAcentral is "bacterial SSU rRNA". It matches the Rfam family "Bacterial small subunit ribosomal RNA", at positions 28 to 378 of the family's 1533-position model. The record is from RNAcentral.
GAUGAACGCUAGCGAUAGGCCUUACACAUGCAAGUCGAGGGGCAGCACAUAAAUUGUAGCAAUACGAUUUUGGUGGCGACCGGCGCACGGGUGAGUAACGCGUAUGCAACCUACCUACUACUUUGGCAUAGCUCGUUGAAAGACGAAUUAAUACCUCAUAAAACAGGGGCUCCGCAUGGAGAUAUUUGUUAAAAGAUUUAUCGGUAGUAGAUGGGCAUGCGUUCCAUUAGUUAGUUGGCGAGGUAACGGCUCACCAAGACAACGAUGGAUAGGGAACUGAGAGGUUUAUCCCCCACACUGGAACUGAGACACGGUCCAGACUCCUACGGGAGGCAGCAGUGAGGAAUAUUGGUCAAUGGAGGC